AUUGAACGCUGGCGGCAGGCCUAACACAUGCCAGUCGAACGGUAACAGGAAGCAGCUUGCUGCUUCGCUGACGAGUGGCGGACGGGUGAGUAAUGUCUGGGAAGCUGCCUGAUGGAGUGGGAUAACUACUGGAAACGGUAGCUAAUACCGCAUAAUGUCGCAAGACCAAAGAGGGGGACCUUCGGGCCUCUUGCCAUCGGAUGUGCCCAGAUGGGAUUAGCUUGUUGGUGGGGUAACGGCUCACCAAGGCGACGAUCCCUAGCUGGUCUGAGAGGAUGACCAGCCACACUGGAACUGAGACACGGUCCAGACUCCUACGGGAGGCAGCAGUGGGGAAUAUUGCACAAUGGGCGCAAGCCUGAUGCAGCCAUGCCGCGUGUAUGAAGAAGGCCUUCGAGUUGUAAAGUACUUUCAGCGGGGAGGAAGGGAGUAAAGUUAAUACCUUUGCUCAUUGACGUUACCCGCAGAAGAAGCACCGGCUAACUCCGUG
Molecule: ribosomal RNA, 490 nt
Filed under: uncultured bacterium
Lineage: Bacteria
Description: partial 16S ribosomal RNA
Rfam family: Bacterial small subunit ribosomal RNA
Source: RNAcentral